Long non-coding RNA from Lycium barbarum (goji berry), 1026 nucleotides. RefSeq lists it as uncharacterized. The record is from RefSeq and is a predicted model, not a curated record. The transcript is spliced from 3 exons. NCBI's taxonomy places the organism in Eukaryota, Viridiplantae, Streptophyta, Magnoliopsida, Solanales, Solanaceae.
GUGUACAUGGAACCAUGUCGAGGAUAAUGUUAUUAGAAGUAAUUUACAAAGAAGGCGAGUUCUCGGUUGUCAAACAUUUUUUCUGAAGCUCGAAAAAAAGGUCAAAAACCUGGCUGGCUUGGGACAGAUUACUGGGAGAAGCUUAAUCAAUACUGGGCUACGCCGGAGUUUCAAAAGAAUAGCGCCCAGACAAAGGCAGCUCGAAAGUCUGAGAAGGGUGGCUCAUUGCACACUUGUGGUUCAGUGUCCAUGAGGACUGCUAGGAGGAAAUUGCAAGUUACUCUUGGUAGACCACCCAAUCGUCAUGAGGUAUGGAAGAAGACAUACGAAAAUCGAAGACGGAAAAGAAGUUUGGGUCGAGCCACGGGCAGAGGAUACCUAUAAUCGGUAUAAUCAAGCGAUGGAGGAACUCAUUAGGAGUCAGUUGAUCGAUAAUCAAGGCAGUACAAUCAUGCCAUUGGAGGAACAAACUAUCUCCUGUUGGUUGGACGUGGUUGGCGGUGUGAAUAAGGAAGAGCGUACGGCCUUUGCUCCGAGAAGAACUUUCACCGCCUUCAGUGUGGAUUGCAAGAUAUAGGAAAUUCUGCCAUUGUAUCAAAUGAGCAGCUUGAGGAGAUGCGACACGAACUUCGGGAACUUGCUAGGAAUUAUGAGGAGGAACGUAAAAAAAGGUUGGAGGAGGAGCGACGUAAGAUAAAUCUUGAGUUAGAUGUCAAAGAACUCAAGAGCCAGGUGUGUAACCUCAUCAAGUUGCCCUGCUCUCCGCCCCCGAGCCCCGAUCAUGAUGAUGGUGAGGAUGUAGAGGAUGAGGAGAAUCAGGAGCAUGGAGAGGCUGAAAUGGAGUAUUAGGUGUCCGUUGUUAUUUUUGUUCUAACUUAUGUUAUUUUGGAUUGUUUGAAGUCUAGUGGGAUGCUUUUGAUAUAUGUUUGGAUAACGUUGAAGUUGGUUGGAUUCGUACGUUUUUUGUUGGCUUAAUUUUAAUGUUUGAAUUAUUUCGAAGUAUUUUUAUUAUUGUUUUGAUGGCUA